This 757-nucleotide long non-coding RNA is filed under the name Homo sapiens (human). RNAcentral describes it as "non-protein coding lnc-ALG2-6:8". The record is from RNAcentral. Lineage: Eukaryota; Metazoa; Chordata; Mammalia; Primates; Hominidae.
UGGGUUUCCAACUGUGGCAAGUAGCGGCUUCUCCCCACAUCCCUGGGCUGGACCCCAGGCCCCUGCAUACUGGGCACAGCCAGGACCCCCCGACCCCAGGGCCUGUGCUUCUAGGAAGAGGGGGAAAAUUGAAUUUGUGGGGAGUGGCAGGCAGCCUCCUUCCUUGGUUCACAAUGACAGUCCAACUUCUGCCAGUCCUGACUGUCAUUCAAGCCUUUUUGCUAUUUAAGAAUUUUGAGGAAGAAAACCGUCAUGUACUCAAAAUCCUGGUAAUCAGAAGUGUCUGGAGAUUUCGAGCUGUUAACAUAGAGAGGUGGCAAAAUUAUUUUCUGGGAUAUCCUUAUGGGCCUGAAUGGCAGCGGGAGUCGACAUAGCUGGUGCCUGGGCAGGUUUCCAAAGCACAGCCGAGGUGGAGAGUAGGUGAGGGCUGCAACAAAGGUCCCGACAUCUGAAGAGCACUGCACAGUUUGUCAGAGGAUUUCAGCUCCACACUCUCACUUAGUCCUCACAGCAACCCCAUGCAGUGACUGCUGUCACUUCUUUUCAUGGCUGAGAAGACUGUUGGGAGAGGAAAAAUGAAUUGCCCACUGGCAGGCAGGUAAGAGGCACAGCUGAAACUCUCACCUAGUUCUUCUGACUCCAAGCCCAUCAUCUCAGGAUUGUACCCAAGUGGCUCUUGCACCAGUAUCAGCGCCAAUGGCAGGGUCAGCAGAAAAUAGCAGAGGGGCCUGAAAACAGAUGGGAACAUCUGGAAAAG